GAUGAACGCUGGCGGCGUGCCUAAUACAUGCAAGUCGAGCGAACGGACGAGAAGCUUGCUUCUCUGAUGUUAGCGGCGGACGGGUGAGUAACACGUGGAUAACCUACCUAUAAGACUGGGAUAACUUCGGGAAACCGGAGCUAAUACCGGAUAAUAUUUUGAACCGCAUGGUUCAAAAGUGAAAGACGGUCUUGCUGUCACUUAUAGAUGGAUCCGCGCUGCAUUAGCUAGUUGGUAAGGUAACGGCUUACCAAGGCAACGAUGCAUAGCCGACCUGAGAGGGUGAUCGGCCACACUGGAACUGAGACACGGUCCAGACUCCUACGGGAGGCAGCAGUAGGGAAUCUUCCGCAAUGGGCGAAAGCCUGACGGAGCAACGCCGCGUGAGUGAUGAAGGUCUUCGGAUCGUAAAACUCUGUUAUUAGGGAAGAACAUAUGUGUAAGUAACUGUGCACAUCUUGACGGUACCUAAUCAGAAAGCCACGGCUAACUACGUGCCAGCAGCCGCGGUAAUACGUAGGUGGCAAGCGUUAUCCGGAAUUAUUGGGCGUAAAGCGCGCGUAGGCGGUUUUUUAAGUCUGAUGUGAAAGCCCACGGCUCAACCGUGGAGGGUCAUUGGAAACUGGAAAACUUGAGUGCAGAAGAGGAAAGUGGAAUUCCAUGUGUAGCGGUGAAAUGCGCAGAGAUAUGGAGGAACACCAGUGGCGAAGGCGACUUUCUGGUCUGUAACUGACGCUGAUGUGCGAAAGCGUGGGGAUCAAACAGGAUUAGAUACCCUGGUAGUCCACGCCGUAAACGAUGAGUGCUAAGUGUUAGGGGGUUUCCGCCCCUUAGUGCGGCAGCUAACGCAUUAAGCACUCCGCCUGGGGAGUACGACCGCAAGGUUGAAACUCAAAGGAAUUGACGGGGACCCGCACAAGCGGUGGAGCAUGUGGUUUAAUUCGAAGCAACGCGAAGAACCUUACCAAAUCUUGACAUCCUUUGACAACUCUAGAGAUAGAGCCUUCCCCUUCGGGGGGGCAAAGUGACAGGUGGUGCAUGGUUGUCGUCAGCUCGUGUCGUGAGAUGUUGGGUUAAGUCCCGCAACGAGCGCAACCCUUAAGCUUAGUUGCCAUCAUUAAGUUGGGCACUCUAAGUUGACUGCCGGUGACAAACCGGAGGAAGGUGGGGAUGACGUCAAAUCAUCAUGCCCCUUAUGAUUUGGGCUACACACGUGCUACAAUGGACAAUACAAAGGGCAGCGAAACCGCGAGGUCAAGCAAAUCCCAUAAAGUUGUUCUCAGUUCGGAUUGUAGUCUGCAACUCGACUACAUGAAGCUGGAAUCGCUAGUAAUCGUAGAUCAGCAUGCUACGGUGAAUACGUUCCCGGGUCU
Molecule: ribosomal RNA, 1373 nt
Filed under: uncultured bacterium
Lineage: Bacteria
Description: bacterial SSU rRNA
Rfam family: Bacterial small subunit ribosomal RNA
Source: RNAcentral